This 468-nucleotide ribosomal RNA is filed under the name uncultured bacterium. RNAcentral describes it as "partial 16S ribosomal RNA". It matches the Rfam family "Bacterial small subunit ribosomal RNA", at positions 28 to 507 of the family's 1533-position model. The record is from RNAcentral.
GACGAACGCUGGCGGCGUGCUUAACACAUGCAAGUCGAACGGAAAGGCCCUGCUUUUGUGGGGUGCUCGAGUGGCGAACGGUUGAGUAACACGUGAGUAACCUGCCCUUUACUUUGGGAUAACUUCAGGAAACUGUGGCUAAUACCGGAUAGGAGCUCCUGCUGCAUGGUGGGGGUUGGAAAGUUUCGGCGGUUGGGGAUGGACUCGCGGCUUAUCAGCUUGUUGGUGGGGUAGUGGCUUACCAAGGCUUUGACGGGUAGCCGGCCUGAGAGGGUGACCGGCCACAUUGGGACUGAGAUACGGCCCAGACUCCUACGGGAGGCAGCAGUGGGGAAUAUUGCACAAUGGGCGGAAGCCUGAUGCAGCAACGCCGCGUGCGGGAUGACGGCCUUCGGGUUGUAAACCGCUUUCGCCUGUGACGAAGCGUGAGUGACGGUAAUGGGUAAAGAAGCACCGGCUAACUACGUG